Molecule: ribosomal RNA, 519 nt
Filed under: uncultured bacterium
Lineage: Bacteria
Description: bacterial SSU rRNA
Rfam family: Bacterial small subunit ribosomal RNA
Source: RNAcentral
CAUGCCUAAGACAUGCAAGUCGUACGAGGAGGCCCUAUGAAAUUGGAGUGCUUGCACAAAGAUAGAUUAGGAUUUCUCCUAGUGGCGGACGGGUGAGUAACACGUGGGUAAUCUGCCUUUAAGUUGGGGACAACAGUUGGAAACGACUGCUAAUACCGAAUAUGAUAUAGAAAUGAUUUUUCUAUAUUGAAAGAUGCCUUUAAAGCAUCGCUUAAAGAUGAGCCUGCGGCGUAUUAGCUAGUUGGUAGGGUAACGGCCUACCAAGGCAACGAUGCGUAGCCGAACUGAGAGGUUGAUCGGCCACAUUGGGACUGAGACACGGCCCAAACUCCUACGGGAGACAGCAGUUAGGAAUAUUCGUCAAUGGGGGCAACCCUGAACGAGCAAUGCCGCGUGAGUGAUGACGGUCCUUUGGAUUGUAAAACUCUGUUGUAUGGGAAGAACACUAAAUAUAGGAAAUGAUAUUUAGCUGACGGUACCAUACCAGAAAGCCCCGGCUAACUACGUGCCAGCAGCUGC